Molecule: ribosomal RNA, 325 nt
Filed under: Shewanella xiamenensis
Lineage: Bacteria; Pseudomonadati; Pseudomonadota; Gammaproteobacteria; Alteromonadales; Shewanellaceae
Description: bacterial SSU rRNA
Rfam family: Bacterial small subunit ribosomal RNA
Source: RNAcentral
UAAUUGAAGAGUUUGAUCAUGGCUCAGAUUGAACGCUGGCGGCAGGCCUAACACAUGCAAGUCGAGCGGCAGCACAAGGGAGUUUACUCCUGAGGUGGCGAGCGGCGGACGGGUGAGUAAUGCCUAGGGAUCUGCCCAGUCGAGGGGGAUAACAGUUGGAAACGACUGCUAAUACCGCAUACGCCCUACGGGGGAAAGAGGGGGACCUUCGGGCCUCUCGCGAUUGGAUGAACCUAGGUGGGAUUAGCUAGUUGGUGAGGUAAUGGCUCACCAAGGCGACGAUCCCUAGCUGUUCUGAGAGGAUGAUCAGCCACACUGGGACUGA